CUGAGAGCGGAAGUUCCGGUCCAGGAGAGGAAGUUCCGGUCCGGGAGCGGAAGUCCCGCCUCUUUCCUUUCCGUUUUCUCUUCUCGCUCGCAUCGCAGCCGCCAUGGGUGUCGACAUCCGCCAUAACCGCGACCGCAAAGUCAGGCGGCGGGAGCCCAAAAGUCAGGAUAUCUACCUGAGGCUGCUGGUCAAGCUGUACCGCUUCCUGGCCCGGAGAACGAAUUCGGCCUUCAAUAAAGUGGUGCUGAAGCGGCUCUUCAUGAGCCGCACCAACCGG
This is a non-coding RNA of Phasianus colchicus (ring-necked pheasant), 277 nucleotides long. The record is from RefSeq and is a predicted model, not a curated record. NCBI's taxonomy places the organism in Eukaryota, Metazoa, Chordata, Aves, Galliformes, Phasianidae.